UACGGGGGGGGGUAAGCGUUGUUCGGAAUUACUGGGCGUAAAGGGCUCGUAGGCGGCCAACUAAGUCGGACGUGAAAUCCCUCAGCUUAACUGGGGAACUGCGUCCGAUACUGGAUGGCUUGGAUUUGGGAGAGGGAUGCGGAAUUCCAGGUGUAGCGGUGAAAUGCGUAGAUAUCUGGAGGAACACCGGUGGCGAAGGCGGCAUCCUGGACCAAGUAUUGACGCUGAGGAGCGAAAGCCAGGGGA
RNAcentral lists this ribosomal RNA (246 nucleotides) under uncultured bacterium. RNAcentral's name for it is "partial 16S ribosomal RNA". It matches the Rfam family "Bacterial small subunit ribosomal RNA", at positions 524 to 767 of the family's 1533-position model. The record is from RNAcentral.